GCAAGUCUGGUGCCAGCAGCCGCGGUAAUUCCAGCUCCAAUAGCGUAUAUUAAUUUUGCUGCGGUUAAAAAGCUCGUAGUUGGAUCUCGGUUUCGGGCGAGUGGUGCACCUCGGUGUUUACUGUUUGCCCGGACGAUUUUGCUGGUUCGUUUAUGGUUCUCUUAACCGAGUGCCAUAAGUGGCCAGCAGGUUUACUUUGAAAAAAUUGGAGUGCUCAAAGCAGGCUACAGCCUGAACAUUAGUGCAUGGAAUAAUGGAAUAGGAUCUCGGUUCUAUUUCGUUGGCUUUCGGAGUCGAGGUAAUGAUUAAUAGGGACAGACGGGGGCAUUCGUACUGCGACGUUAGAGGUGAAAUUCUUGGAUCGUCGCAAGACGAACUACUGCGAAAGCAUUUGCCAAGAAUGUUUUCAUUAAUCAAGAACGAAAGU
Molecule: ribosomal RNA, 427 nt
Filed under: Cryptopygus caecus
Lineage: Eukaryota; Metazoa; Arthropoda; Collembola; Entomobryomorpha; Isotomidae
Description: SSU rRNA
Rfam family: Eukaryotic small subunit ribosomal RNA
Source: RNAcentral